This 35-nucleotide transfer RNA is filed under the name Panthera spelaea (Eurasian cave lion). RNAcentral's name for it is "partial tRNA-Gln". Lineage: Eukaryota; Metazoa; Chordata; Mammalia; Carnivora; Felidae. The record is from RNAcentral.
AUUCUUAGGAUUAGGUUCGAUUCCUAUAAUUCUAG